RNAcentral lists this ribosomal RNA (506 nucleotides) under uncultured bacterium. RNAcentral describes it as "partial 16S ribosomal RNA". It matches the Rfam family "Bacterial small subunit ribosomal RNA", at positions 29 to 523 of the family's 1533-position model. The record is from RNAcentral.
AGUGAACGCUGGCGGUAGGCCUAACACAUGCAAGUCGAACGGCAGCACAGAGGAGCUUGCUCCUUGGGUGGCGAGUGGCGGACGGGUGAGGAAUACAUCGGAAUCUACUCUGUCGUGGGGGAUAACGUAGGGAAACUUACGCUAAUACCGCAUACGACCUACGGGUGAAAGCAGGGGAUCUUCGGACCUUGCGCGAUUGAAUGAGCCGAUGUCGGAUUAGCUAGUUGGCGGGGUAAAGGCCCACCAAGGCGACGAUCCGUAGCUGGUCUGAGAGGAUGAUCAGCCACACUGGAACUGAGACACGGUCCAGACUCCUACGGGAGGCAGCAGUGGGGAAUAUUGGACAAUGGGCGCAAGCCUGAUCCAGCCAUACCGCGUGGGUGAAGAAGGCCUUCGGGUUGUAAAGCCCUUUUGUUGGGAAAGAAAUCCUGUCGAUUAAUACUCGGUGGGGAUGACGGUACCCAAAGAAUAAGCACCGGCUAACUUCGUGCCAGCAGCCGCCGUAA